GACGAACGCUGGCGGCGUGCCUAAUACAUGCAAGUUGAGCGCUGAAGGUUGGUACUUGUACCAACUGGAUGAGCAGCGAACGGGUGAGUAACGCGUGGGGAAUCUGCCUUUGAGCGGGGGACAACAUUUGGAAACGAAUGCUAAUACCGCAUAAAAACUUUAAACACAAGUUUUAAGUUUGAAAGAUGCAAUUGCAUCACUCAAAGAUGAUCCCGCGUUGUAUUAGCUAGUUGGUGAGGUAAAGGCUCACCAAGGCGAUGAUACAUAGCCGACCUGAGAGGGUGAUCGGCCACAUUGGGACUGAGGCACGGCCCAAACUCCUACGGGAGGCAGCAGUAGGGAAUCUUCGGCAAUGGACGAAAGUCUGACCGAGCAACGCCGCGGGAGUGAAGAAGGUUUUCGGAUCGUAAAACUCUGUUGGUAGAGAAGAAAGUUGGUGAGAGUGGAAAGCUCAUCAAGUGACGGUAACUACCCAGAAAGGGACGGCUAACUACGUG
Molecule: ribosomal RNA, 497 nt
Filed under: uncultured bacterium
Lineage: Bacteria
Description: partial 16S ribosomal RNA
Rfam family: Bacterial small subunit ribosomal RNA
Source: RNAcentral